Molecule: long non-coding RNA, 547 nt
Organism: Girardinichthys multiradiatus
Lineage: Eukaryota; Metazoa; Chordata; Actinopteri; Cyprinodontiformes; Goodeidae
Exons: 4
Source: RefSeq, a predicted model, not a curated record
CUCAAUUCUAUACCUCUUUUGAAAUUGGAGUUGUUUGAAGACCUUAAAAGGCCAGGUUUGGUCUCGGCCUCUUGCUGACUAGCCAUUAGCUUCAGCCUCCAGGACCGACGAAUUUGGAUUUAUACUAAAUGAAGAUGCCAAGAGUGUCAUCGUCUGCAGCCGCAGCAAAAUAUCUGAACCGUACAUGAGAACAUGGCAUGGUUUUAAGUUAAAUACAUGGAAGCAGUUUGUGGAAAAAGACCAGAGCAGGCUGAACAGGUGGACAAAUGUUAUCUUCUAAGUGGCCCUCAUCCUGCAAAGUGACUGACAGGAUAUGGGGCGGAGAGAGGGGAAGACGUGCCGCAAACGGGCCAACAGGCUGGGGCCUGAACCCGAACCCACAACAUCCGGGCCGAGGACUGCAGCCUGCGCACAUCGGCCAUUCACCUAACGUUAAAAUAUUGCCUUGCAGUUCUUCACCUGAGCAAUAGAGGUGCUGUGGCAAGAGCCAUGUAAUGCUAAAUCAGCUCAAAGCAACAGAGAAUUCUCCAAGAAAGAAGUAAACCAG